RNAcentral lists this transfer RNA (63 nucleotides) under Lachesilla sp. Lasp7Q. RNAcentral describes it as "tRNA-His". The record is from RNAcentral. Lineage: Eukaryota; Metazoa; Arthropoda; Insecta; Psocodea; Lachesillidae.
AUCUAAUUAGUUUAAUAAAAAUUUAAAUUUGUGGAAUUUAAGAUAAUAAUAUAUUAUUAGAUA